CCUACGGGAGGCAGCAGUGGGGAAUAUUGGACAAUGGGCGAAAGCCUGAUCCAGCAAUGCCGCGUGAGUGAUGAAGGCCUUAGGGUUGUAAAGCUCUUUUACCAGGGAUGAUAAUGACAGUACCUGGAGAAUAAGCUCCGGCUAACUCCGUGCCAGCAGCCGCGGUAAUACGGAGGGAGCUAGCGUUGUUCGGAAUUACUGGGCGUAAAGCGUGCGUAGGCGGUGAUUCAAGUCAGAGGUGAAAGCCUGGAGCUCAACUCCAGAACGGCCUUUGAAACUAGAUCGCUAGAAUUAUGGAGAGGUAAGUGGAAUUCCGAGUGUAGAGGUGAAAUUCGUAGAUAUUCGGAAGAACACCAGUGGCGAAGGCGACUUACUGGACAUAUAUUGACGCUGAGGUACGAAAGCGUGGGGAGCAAACAGGGAUUAGAUACCCUGGUAGUCCACGCCGUAAACGAUGAUAAACUAGCUGUUCGGGGCUCUCAAGAGNUGUAGUGGNGCAGCUAACGACAUUAAGUUAAUUACGUCCGUCGGGAGGUACGGUACGGCGAAGAAGUUAAACUAACGAAAGAAAGUUAGUACGGACGUAGAGACGUACGCCGACGGACGACGACGAGGGAGAGG
RNAcentral lists this ribosomal RNA (621 nucleotides) under uncultured bacterium. RNAcentral describes it as "bacterial SSU rRNA". The stretch from base 1 to 525 matches the Rfam family "Bacterial small subunit ribosomal RNA", at positions 338 to 873 of the family's 1533-position model. The record is from RNAcentral.